CCGUACGUGCGGAUAAACUCGACAGCGGAAUUGGCGAAAGUUUCGCGCGUAGUCGCGUUGGCUGCCACAU
This 70-nucleotide small nucleolar RNA is filed under the name Paenibacillus sp. HGF7. The record is from RNAcentral. Lineage: Bacteria; Bacillati; Bacillota; Bacilli; Caryophanales; Paenibacillaceae.